Molecule: ribosomal RNA, 380 nt
Filed under: uncultured eukaryote
Lineage: Eukaryota
Description: SSU rRNA
Rfam family: Eukaryotic small subunit ribosomal RNA
Source: RNAcentral
AGCUCCAAUAGCGUAUAUUAAAGUUGUUGCGGUUAAAAGCUCGUAGUUGGAUUUCUGUCGGGGACAGUCGGUCCGCCCUUGGGGCGUGCAUCUGAUUCGGCCUCGGCAUCCUCUUGAGGUUCGUUUCUGCGCUUCAUUGCGUGGGGCGGAAUUCAAGACUUUUACUUUGAGGAAAUUAGAGUGUUCACGGCAAGCAAUCGCUUUGAAUACAUUAGCAUGGAAUAAUAAUAUAGGGCGUAAGUUCUAUUUUGUUGGUUUCUAGGACAUACGCAAUGAUUAAUAGGGACAAUUGGGGGCAUUCGUAUUAACGCGCUAGAGGUGGAAUUCUUAGAUUGCGUUACGACGAACUACUGCGAAAGCAUUUGCCAAGGAUGUUUUCA